Molecule: non-coding RNA, 88 nt
Filed under: Chelatococcus asaccharovorans
Lineage: Bacteria; Pseudomonadati; Pseudomonadota; Alphaproteobacteria; Hyphomicrobiales; Chelatococcaceae
Description: Glycine riboswitch aptamer
Rfam family: Glycine riboswitch aptamer
About the family: This family represents the bacterial glycine riboswitch. Glycine riboswitches usually consist of two metabolite-binding aptamers domains with similar structures in tandem.
Source: Rfam by way of RNAcentral
AUCGCAUAUGCGGGAGAGAGACGGCUAGUGUCUCGCCGAAGGAGCAACCGCCCCGGAAACUCUCAGGCAAAAGGACCGCAUACAGAAG